UGAUCCUUGCCUGACCUGUUGGACCGGAGCACAUUCUGGCCUCAAGAUAUUCUGAAAGGAUAUUUUCAAAGGCUGCAUGUUUUAUACUAACUGUGAAACAACCUGAGCAUGUUUAUCUCUGGCUGUGAAUGAUUUAUAGCCUGCAAUUUGUGUUCUAGCAGCCUGCCGAACUGGCACAAAGAACUGUGUGUGAGUGAGGAAAGGAAGAUUGAAAACGUGCAUUCAACUCCAAGUUGGAUACCAGAAGAGCCUAAUUGCCCAGAGUGUACAACAUUCCCUGCUUCACAGCUGAACCAAAUGAUUCAAUCUACUCUGACAGACCUAGUCAAUCCUUAAUAGGAUUAGGAUUCAACAUGGCAGGUGUGCUAGCCUCCUCUGUAAAUGGGAAAAACUUGGGAAUGUUCUCCAAAGAAGACAGUGCGUCACACUGUGGGAAAAUGCCCUCAGAGCACCUAUCAAGGGAAUUCCAGAGACUGUCUGUAUGCAAUUCCAUCAUGUAUUGACUAUAUAAAUAGUCUACCUUUGAAUAUGUAAA
Pantherophis guttatus is the source of this 535-nucleotide long non-coding RNA. RefSeq lists it as uncharacterized. The record is from RefSeq and is a predicted model, not a curated record. NCBI's taxonomy places the organism in Eukaryota, Metazoa, Chordata, Lepidosauria, Squamata, Colubridae.